This 697-nucleotide ribosomal RNA is filed under the name uncultured bacterium. RNAcentral's name for it is "bacterial SSU rRNA". It matches the Rfam family "Bacterial small subunit ribosomal RNA", at positions 134 to 851 of the family's 1533-position model. The record is from RNAcentral.
UACACACGGAUAACAUACCGAAAGGUAUGCUAAUACGGGAUAAUAUAUUUGAGAGGCAUCUCUUGAAUAUCAAAGGUGAGCCAGUACAGGAUGGACCCGCGUCUGAUUAGCUAGUUGGUAAGGUAAAGGCUUACCAAGGCGACGAUCAGUAGCCGACCUGAGAGGGUGAUCGGCCACAUUGGAACUGAGACACGGUCCAAACUCCUACGGGAGGCAGCAGUGGGGAAUAUUGCACAAUGGGCGAAAGCCUGAUGCAGCAACGCCGCGUGAGUGAUGAAGGCCUUCGGGUCGUAAAACUCUGUCCUCAAGGAAGAUAAUGACGGUACUUGAGGAGGAAGCCCCGGCUAACUACGUGCCAGCAGCCGCGGUAAUACGUAGGGGGCUAGCGUUAUCCGGAUUUACUGGGCGUAAAGGGUGCGUAGGCGGUCUUUCAAGUCAGGAGUGAAAGGCUACGGCUCAACCGUAGUAAGCUCUUGAAACUGGGAGACUUGAGUGCAGGAGAGGAGAGUGGAAUACCUAGUGUAGCGGUGAAAUGCGUAGAUAUUAGGAGGAACACCAGUUGCGAAGGCGGCUCUCUGGACUGUAACUGACGCUGAGGCACGAAAGCGUGGGGAGCAAACAGGAUUAGAUACCCUGGUAGUCCACGCUGUAAACGAUGAGUACUAGGUGUCGGGGGUUACCCCCUUCGGUGCCGCAG